RNAcentral lists this ribosomal RNA (432 nucleotides) under uncultured bacterium. RNAcentral's name for it is "partial 16S ribosomal RNA". It matches the Rfam family "Bacterial small subunit ribosomal RNA", at positions 29 to 507 of the family's 1533-position model. The record is from RNAcentral.
ACGCACGCUGGCGGCAUGCCUCACCCAUGCAAGUCGAACGAGACCUUCGGGUCUAGUGGCGCACGGGUGCGUAACGCGUGGGAACCUGCCCUUAGGUUCGGAAUAACUCCCCGAAAGGGGUGCUAAUACCGGAUAAUGUCUUCGGACCAAAGAUUUAUCGCCUUUGGAUGGGCCCGCGUUGGAUUAGCUAGUUGGUAGGGUAAAAGCCUACCAAGGCGACGAUCCAUAGCUGGUCUGAGAGGAUGAUCAGCCACACUGGGACUGAGACACGGCCCAGACUCCUACGGGAGGGAGCAGUGGGGAAUAUUGGGCAAUGGGCGAAAGCCUGAUCCAGCAAUGCCGCGUGAGUGAUGAAGGCCUUAGGGUUGUAAAGCUCUUUUACCCGGGAUGAUAAUGACAGUACCGGGAGAAUAAGCGCCGGCUAACUCCGUG